GAUGAACGCUGGCGGCGUGCCUAAUACAUGCAAGUCGAGCGAACAGAUGAGGAGCUUGCUCCUCUGACGUUAGCGGCGGACGGGUGAGUAACACGUGGAUAACCUACCUAUAAGACUGGGAUAACUUCGGGAAACCGGAGCUAAUACCGGAUAAUAUAUUGAACCGCAUGGUUCAAUAGUGAAAGACGGUUUUGCUGUCACUUAUAGAUGGAUCCGCGCCGCAUUAGCUAGUUGGUAAGGUAACGGCUUACCAAGGCGACGAUGCGUAGCCGACCUGAGAGGGUGAUCGGCCACACUGGAACUGAGACACGGUCCAGACUCCUACGGGAGGCAGCAGUAGGGAAUCUUCCGCAAUGGGCGAAAGCCUGACGGAGCAACGCCGCGGGAGUGAUGAAGGUCUUCGGAUCGUAAAACUCUGUUAGUAGGGAAGAACAAAUGUGUAAGUAACUAUGCACGUCUUGACGGUACCUAAUCAGAAAGCCACGGCUAACUACGUG
This 497-nucleotide ribosomal RNA is filed under the name uncultured bacterium. Its description in RNAcentral is "partial 16S ribosomal RNA". It matches the Rfam family "Bacterial small subunit ribosomal RNA", at positions 28 to 507 of the family's 1533-position model. The record is from RNAcentral.